CCUACGGGAGGCUGCAGUGGGGAAUAUUGCGCAAUGGGCGAAAGCCUGACGCAGCGACGCCGCGUGAGGUAUGAAGGUCUUCGGAUCGUACACCUCUGUCAGCAGGGCAGAACGGUCACUGUGCUAAUCAGCAGUGAAUUGACGGUACCUGCAAAGGAAGCACCGGCUAACUCCGUGCCAGCAGCCGCGGUAAUACGGAGGGUGCGAGCGUGAAUCGGAAUUACUGGGCGUAAAGCGCUCGUAGGCGGUAUGUCACGUCAAGGGUGAAAUCCCCGCGCUCAACGUGGGAACUGCCUUUGAAACUGGCAAACUGGAGUGUGUGAGAGGAUAGUGGAAUGCCAGGUGUAGGAGUGAACUCCGUAGAUAUCUGGAGGAACAUCAGUGGCGAAGGCGACUAUCUGGCACAUAACUGACGCUGAGGAGCGAAAGCGUGGGUAGCAAACAGGAUUAGAUACCCUGGUAGUC
RNAcentral lists this ribosomal RNA (465 nucleotides) under uncultured bacterium. RNAcentral's name for it is "partial 16S ribosomal RNA". It matches the Rfam family "Bacterial small subunit ribosomal RNA", at positions 338 to 795 of the family's 1533-position model. The record is from RNAcentral.